Molecule: microRNA precursor, 133 nt
Filed under: Dasypus novemcinctus (nine-banded armadillo)
Lineage: Eukaryota; Metazoa; Chordata; Mammalia; Cingulata; Dasypodidae
Description: miRNA (ENSDNOG00000027663.2)
Source: RNAcentral
UAAGUCUAUCCAAAGUGUACAAUCAUGGUAUUCAGUAUACUCACAUAUUUGUGUCUUCGUCACUUCAAUCAUUCUUAGAGCACUUUGAUUGUUCCAAUGAUGAUACCGAUAAUAAUAAUAAUAAUGAUAAUAA